UUCUCCAUGUUUAUUUCUGCUAUUUUAAUUUGCCGAGGUAUUCGAUUUUAAGUUUUAGAGAGUUUUGGGACACUUAGUCGCUAAAUGAGCGCUUAAGUGUUAGAAAGUUGACUGUUGACCAUAGUCGGAACAGUGUAAAGACAGUCUUAGAAUGGAAAUCCGAUGGUUCUGCUAGCUCUGUUGGGUGAUUUUAUUCUUAGAGUCAUGAUCGGAUUGUGUCUUCGAGGUCCGUAGCUAAUUUAGGCUUGAAAUUCCAAAUGUUCGAAUUGUGAAGUUUCCGGUUCGAUAGUGAGAUUUUGAUCCGAGGGUCAGAGUGGAAUUUCGAGAGUUGUAGUAGUUCCAAUGUGUCAUUUGGUAAGUGUGUGAAAAAUGUCAG
This 376-nucleotide long non-coding RNA is filed under the name Nicotiana benthamiana. Its description in RNAcentral is "long non-coding RNA (NBEN_LNC026852)". The record is from RNAcentral. Lineage: Eukaryota; Viridiplantae; Streptophyta; Magnoliopsida; Solanales; Solanaceae.